RNAcentral lists this ribosomal RNA (466 nucleotides) under uncultured bacterium. RNAcentral's name for it is "partial 16S ribosomal RNA". It matches the Rfam family "Bacterial small subunit ribosomal RNA", at positions 28 to 507 of the family's 1533-position model. The record is from RNAcentral.
GAUGAACGCUGGCGGCGUGCUUAACACAUGCAAGUCGAACGAUGAAGCCCAGCUUGCUGGGUGGAUUAGUGGCGAACGGGUGAGUAACACGUGAGUAACCUGCCCUUAACUCUGGGAUAAGCCUGGGAAACUGGGUCUAAUACCGGAUAGGAGCGCCUACCGCAUGGUGGGUGUUGGAAAGAUUUAUCGGUUUUGGAUGGACUCGCGGCCUAUCAGCUUGUUGGUGUGGUAAUGGCUCACCAAGGCGACGACGGGUAGCCGGCCUGAGAGGGUGACCGGCCACACUGGGACUGAGACACGGCCCAGACUCCUACGGGAGGCAGCAGUGGGGAAUAUUGCACAAUGGGCGAAAGCCUGAUGCAGCGACGCCGCGUGAGGGAUGACGGCCUUCGGGUUGUAAACCUCUUUCAGUAGGGAAGAAGCGAAAGUGACGGUACCUGCAGAAGAAGCACCGGCUAACUACGUG